Molecule: unclassified non-coding RNA, 360 nt
Filed under: Hevea brasiliensis (rubber tree)
Lineage: Eukaryota; Viridiplantae; Streptophyta; Magnoliopsida; Malpighiales; Euphorbiaceae
Source: RNAcentral
UUGGAACCACAGGAUGAAUCGAAGGACAUAAAGAGUGGUGCACAAAUUCCUCGUCAAGUACCACGUUGGCUUUCAAAUUCCACUCCCGAUGAAUUUGUUGAGAUAAUAAAAAAGAGUGGUGCUGCACUUCAUGUGAAAUAUUUGCAGACAAUGGUUGAGUGCCUCUGUAUGCUGGGCAAAGUUGCAGCUGCUGGUGCAAUGAUAUGCCAGAGAUUGCGACCCACAAUUCAUGACAUUAUCACUUCCAAGAUAAAAGCUCAUGCAGAACUUGUUAACUCUUCAAAGUCUGGAACUUGUCAGGCUGCCCAAACUGCUACCACAGGUCUUCAUUUUCUGAAAGGACAGUUAGAAAGCUACCAG